UACGGAGGGGGCUAGCGUUGUUCGGAAUUACUGGGCGUAAAGCGCACGUAGGCGGCUUUGUAAGUUAGAGGUGAAAGCCCGGGGCUCAACUCCGGAAUUGCCUUUAAGACUGCAUCGCUAGAAUUGUGGAGAGGUGAGUGGAAUUCCGAGUGUAGGGGUGAAAUUCGUAGAUAUUCGGAAGAACACCAGUGGCGAAGGCGACUCACUGGACACAUAUUGACGCUGAGACGCGAAAGCGUGGGGAGCGAACAGG
RNAcentral lists this ribosomal RNA (253 nucleotides) under uncultured bacterium. RNAcentral's name for it is "partial 16S ribosomal RNA". It matches the Rfam family "Bacterial small subunit ribosomal RNA", at positions 524 to 776 of the family's 1533-position model. The record is from RNAcentral.